AUGAUAUGAAAUCAUGAUAUGAUAUCAUAAUAUGGAAUUAUGAGAUGAAAUUGAAGUUUUGUUUGGACAUGCGAUAUGAAAUUUUUGUGUUGUAUAUUUUCUCAUAAAUAUAAGAAUCUCAUAAGUUGUAAAACUAUUAAAAUAGCCCCAAUUGUUUAUUCAAUCUUACCAAAUAAACAAAAAUUUAUAAAAUUGCAUAAUAA
Molecule: long non-coding RNA, 203 nt
Filed under: Solanum tuberosum (potato)
Lineage: Eukaryota; Viridiplantae; Streptophyta; Magnoliopsida; Solanales; Solanaceae
Description: long non-coding RNA (STUB_LNC008954)
Source: RNAcentral